CUUUACUGUAGCUUUGCAUUGGACUUUGACGGGACUUGUGUAGGAUAGGUGGGAGGCUGUGAAGCAGGGACGCCAGUUCUUGUGGAGCCACCCUUGAAAUACCACCCUGGUGUCGUUGAGGUUCUAACCUGGACCCCUUAUCGGGGUCGGGGACCGUGCAUGGUAGGCAGUUUGACUGGGGCGGUCUCCUCCCAAAAGGUAACGGAGGAGCACGAAGGUUGGCUAGACACGGUCGGAAAUCGUGUUGAUAGUGCAAGGGCAUAAGCCAGCUUAACUGCGAGACCCACAAGUCGAGCAGAUGCGAAAGCAGGUCCUAGUGAUCCGGUGGUUCUGUAUGGAAGGGCCAUCGCUCAACGGAUAAAAGGUA
Molecule: ribosomal RNA, 367 nt
Filed under: uncultured organism
Description: bacterial LSU rRNA
Rfam family: Bacterial large subunit ribosomal RNA
Source: RNAcentral